This is a non-coding RNA of Beta vulgaris subsp. vulgaris (sugar beet), 93 nucleotides long. The record is from Rfam. Lineage: Eukaryota; Viridiplantae; Streptophyta; Magnoliopsida; Caryophyllales; Amaranthaceae.
CUGCCAUGAUGAUACUCAUUGAGAUUAAUGAAAGCAACUAAUGCUUAAUGUUCUGUUGACAAGCUUGUCAACACUGAGCGGUUAGCUGAGCAG